This 400-nucleotide unclassified non-coding RNA is filed under the name uncultured Cytophagales bacterium. RNAcentral's name for it is "contains 16S-23S intergenic spacer region". Lineage: Bacteria; Pseudomonadati; Bacteroidota; Sphingobacteriia; Sphingobacteriales. The record is from RNAcentral.
CCGUCAAUUCAUUUGAGUUUCACCGUUGCCGGCGUACUCCCCAGGUGGAUAACUUAACGCUUUCGCUGUGGCACCGACCAGAUUCGGCCGACACCUAGUUAUCAUCGUUUACAGUGUGGACUACCAGGGUAUCUAAUCCUGUUUGAUACCCACACUUUCGUGCAUGAGUGUCAGUAAAAGCCAAGUGAGCUGCCUACGCAAUUGGAGUUCUUGAUAAUAUCUAUGCAUUUCACCGCUACACUAUCAAUUCCGCCCACCUCUACUUUACUCAAGUCUACCAGUUUCAAUGGCACUGCAAUCGUUGAGCGACCGUCUUUCACCACUGACUUAAUAAACCACCUGCGCACCCUUUAAACCCAAUAAAUCCGGACAACGCUUGCACCCUCCGUAUUACCGCGGC